Molecule: ribosomal RNA, 253 nt
Filed under: uncultured bacterium
Lineage: Bacteria
Description: partial 16S ribosomal RNA
Rfam family: Bacterial small subunit ribosomal RNA
Source: RNAcentral
UACGUAGGCAGCGAGCGUUGUUCGGAAUUAUUGGGCGUAAAGAGCUCGUAGGCGGUUUGUCGCGUCGAAUGUGAAAACCCGGGGCUCAACCCCGGGCCUGCAUUCGAUACGGGCAGACUAGAGUUCGGUAGGGGAGUCUGGAAUUCCUGGUGUAGCGGUGAAAUGCGCAGAUAUCAGGAGGAACACCGGUGGCGAAGGCGGGACUCUGGGCCGAUACUGACGCUGAGGAGCGAAAGCGUGGGGAGCAAACAGG